CCUACGGGAGGCAGCAGUAGGGAAUAUUGCACAAUGGGGGAAACCCUGAUGCAGCGACGCCGCGUGAGCGAUGAAGUAUUUCGGUAUGUAAAGCUCUAUCAGCAGGGAAGAAAAUGACGGUACCUGACUAAGAAGCCCCGGCUAACUACGUGCCAGCAGCCGAGGUAAUACGUAGGGGGCAAGCGUUAUCCGGAUUUACUGGGUGUAAAGGGAGCGUAGACGGCUUGGCAAGCCAGAUGUGAAAGGCCUGGGCUCAACCCCAGGACUGCAUUUGGAACUGUCAGGCUAGAGUGUCGGAGAGGCAGGCGGAAUUCCUAGUGUAGCGGUGAAAUGCGUAGAUAUUAGGAGGAACACCAGUGGCGAAGGCGGCUUGCUGGACGAUGACUGACGUUGAGGCUCGAAAGCGUGGGGAGCAAACAGGAUUAGAUACCCUAGUAGUC
This 440-nucleotide ribosomal RNA is filed under the name uncultured bacterium. Its description in RNAcentral is "partial 16S ribosomal RNA". It matches the Rfam family "Bacterial small subunit ribosomal RNA", at positions 338 to 795 of the family's 1533-position model. The record is from RNAcentral.